This is a long non-coding RNA of Tachysurus fulvidraco (yellow catfish), 2984 nucleotides long. RefSeq lists it as uncharacterized. The record is from RefSeq and is a predicted model, not a curated record. NCBI's taxonomy places the organism in Eukaryota, Metazoa, Chordata, Actinopteri, Siluriformes, Bagridae. The transcript has 5 exons.
CUGGCCUAAAUGUGGAGGAGCUAUAUUCAGACGGCUGUGAGUGUGGGCGUUCAGUGAGAGAACGGCUCAGGCAGCGAAGUUGCCUACACACUCCUUCAUUCUGACUCACUCUUUACAGUGGUACAUGAGGACAAAAGUCAGGACCAGACGAGCUGAAAAACCAGACUGAGUAAAACAAAGUGUGAGCCGGCGUCACUUCCUCCAUCCCUGAAGCCAGCUGCCUUUGCACACUACGAUUUUAAUCAAGCUCUCAGCGGCAUGAAGCGGAUCUUGUACGAAGAGGCCGUUGAUUUAGUUACAGGAAGAACAGGAGCCACUGUGAAAUCCACUCACAGCAUACUCAUCAAAGAUGAUAUUCAUCUGGCUUGCUGAGUCAUGUAACAGACAACAAUCCACCAUUCAGGAUUGAUAAUGGAUUAUUCUCUCCCUGCGUUUAUUUGACAGGAACCAAUAAUCUUUGGGUGUCUUGGCUUGAUUAGCUCUGUUUGCAGUCAAUAUACACUGGAGGAAGUAGAAAUUAUAAUGUGAGGGAGGGGCCAAGAUCUUUAAAUGCUAUGUUUUUUUGUUUUUUUUUGCAGUCAGGUGUCCAUAAUUAAUGGCAAAAACAAUCAAGAUGAUCUUCCUCGAUGAUAGAAGAAAAACCUGAUUGUAAAGAAAUAACUGCCCUAUGUCUGGGCCCCAACUUCAAGAGUGAGAGCUGAUCAGUGAGGGACCCCUGCUGGUGCACCUACAUUGCUGCAGAUUCCUCAUAUCGAGUCAUUUUAAAGUGAUAAAAGUUACUGACAGAUUCAGGAGGCUUCACAGGUCUGUGGGCUGUACGCAAGAGGGUAGGACAGGAAAGGGUGGGCGAAAGGAGACUCGUGUUUCCUACUGUCUCUUCACUCCUGGCCCUCAGGUGAUCGAUCAGCAGAGAGCAAGCUAAUGCACGCCCACGCGUGCUGAUGCAAGGCACGGGAGCACACAGUUGCAUUCUGCACAUCCAAACAUACAAAUGCACAUGCUUCCAUUGUGAACUCAAUCCCAGGUCCACCAAGCUGCCACUGUUGGGCCCCUGAGCAAGGCCCUUAACCCUCAAUUGCUCAGUUCUAUAAAAAUGAGAUAAUGUAAGUCGCUCUGUAUAAGGGCAUCUGCCAAAUGCUGUAAAUGUAAAUGAUUCAUAAUUACGCACAUUUAUUGUUGUCAAUCUGCAAAAUAUUUAUUUUUUUUGCUUAGUAAGAACUGACAAAAUCACCCUUAUAUAUGUGCUUAUCGUUAAAACAACAACAAUUGAACAGCUGUCUCUUUUACAUUUUUUAUUCCUGCCUUUGUAUCAGCAGUUAGCAGGUCAGAUAUAUGAUCAUUAAUGAUUUAUAAAUGCAUUUAUAAUAAGAUGUGUAAUAUGUACUACCAUAUAAAUACUACACAGGGUAUACUGGGGUAAACUGGACAGUCUGGAAAAAAACAGGUUUUAGUUUUUCCCGUCUUCAAAGUUAGUAUUUUUGACCCAUUAUAAAAGACUAGAUGUCAAUCUCUGUGGACUGUUUGUACAGUAUAUUGUAUACAGAUGCAUAUACCAUACAUACAGUAUAUACAUACAUAUAUUGAGUUUACAAAUUCAGUCAAAGCAGGAAAUAAAAUAAUGUAUAUCGGUGUAUAUAUAUUAGAAAGUAAGACACAUAGUUCAUUUGUACUUUUACUGGAACUGAUUUUGUGCAGUUAAUGAUAAAAAUUUUAAAUGUACUCUUAUUUUUUCUUCUCUCCUUAAUCUGACAUUUUGUCUUGUACACUCCUUAUAAGACAAUGUAAUAGUGGAAAAUAUACGUAAAUUAUUAGAAAGGAUGUCUGUAUGCCUGGUAGGUAUGUCUAAAUUAAUAAUAAUUUGAGCUUUUUUGAAAUUCUUUGGUAUAGCACAUUGUAAAGAAUCUAUAUUGCUAGUUUAGUCAUGAAUUAUUGCUCUAUUGUUGACUCGAGUGUGAAAUUCUGAGCAAAACUAUGCACUACAGGAGUUGAAUGCAAAGCUGACACCGCUGCCUCACAUGCACACACACGUCGCUGCUCCUGCAGGCUGCCAUGGCAGCAGUGUGUCAUGUCAACAGCAGCUCACCUUGAAUGAAUGUUACUGUAGGCCUGUGGGAGCUGCAGAGCCGCCCUUGGCUGUGGGGGUGGGUCAGUUGUGCGUCAGUCAUUAAGUGCUGCUACACACCCAUGGCAACGAGCAUUGUUUGUGUACAAGCCUGCCAGGACACGGCACAAGUCUGUCUCUCUCUGUCCCACGGACAGCACACCCUGGGGACAGCACACAAGACACCAACACCCUUCUGCUGUGCUUUUCUGUAUUUACACUAGGGCUUGGUUUCCCAGAGGAGGGUUAAACCUUAUAUUAGUAGUAAGAAGGAUUUUAAUGAAAAGCUCCUAUUUGAAUUCAUGUUUUUGUUAUUGAUGAUUCAUUUUGAGCCUAAUAAUUACCUGUCCGUUUAGUGGGAUCCAUCUCCUGUGCCAUGGUAAGGGAUGAGGAUGCUUUCUUGUAUCUGUUCCAACAGGGUCAAGCUCUUUGGGGGAGGCAGGGACGGCACGUUUCCAUGGCAAUAUGCUCGCAGGCUCUUCCUCUGAGGAUGAAGAGGCGCUGCAGCAGUAAGGAUGGCUUGCUUGGAAUGCCUUUGAAGAAUUCUGUAGUCUGCUGGCCUUGUUCCAGGCAGAAUGCACAGCAUGCAACCGAAGGCAUUUCUCUGAGCAUUAAAUGUAAUUACACUUGCACAAGUGACAUUGUGUUUUGUUAAGGAAUUUUAUGCCCGUUCUUUCUGUGUACAAACUGGCAGCUGACACAAAGAGGAUUCCCGUAACACCAUCCUGAACAUACUGUAAUGCUUCUAAUAAUAAAGUGAAGUGGUGGAUUAAGACAAAUCUGAGUGGUGAAAAGAAAUGGCUUGAGUCAUGGGUUUGUUUGGGCGCUCAUGUAUGAUUCACAUGCAAACAGUAAUAGUCUUCCCUGCAGCAUUACACACAUU